UCUCUCUCGUCUUCUGCGACUCUCUUCCCCACCACCACCGCCGCGGCCGCCGCUUGCACGACAACCGUCCGCUACCGAUCACCGUCGUUGUUGUUCCUUUCUUCCUUCCUUGCCCCCCCCCCCUCCCUUCCCUCUGAUCAACUCUCUUUCCGUCUUUGCCUUCUCUCUUCUUCAGCCCCCACUCUCCUCCCACUCCUCGCCCGCCGCCACUUUGGUACGCCGCAAUGCCGAACGCCGUUGUCACGCUGACCAUUGUAAAGGCGGAGGCCCUCGUCGCGCUCAACCCUGGUGGCACGUCGAACCCGUUCUUCACUGCAACGAUCGGUGCUCAGAGUGUGACGACGCCGGUGGUGUGCAAGACAGUGAACCCGGUAUUCAAUACGACUUUUACUUUCUACGGCUGCCCGCUUCCGGCCAUGUUGACGCUGCGCGCCUUCAACAAGAUCCAGUUUGUGGACAUCGAGGACCCGCUCGGCACCGCCACGGUCACCCUCUUCGACCUGCAGCCGGAGACGACGACGAAGGUGGUUCAGCUCAGCCACGGCGGCGUCGCGGCGCUGGCGCAGCGCGCACUGAACGGUUGCGGUGCGGUUACCAUCACCUACAGCGUCGCGCCGAUGCCCGCUGAGGAGGCGGACCCCGCCGUGGAGAACGCGGCGUCCAAGCCGAGCAGCCUGCCUUCUUCCACCGCCGCGCCCAUAUCCGUGCCCGCUGCCCACAACAUUGAUGGCACCGGCCCGGCGUCUAUCCCCGUCGCCUCAGUCCCACGUGAGGGCGCCGCCGGCACGCUGGGCUCCGUCACGCACGGCAGCAGCAGCAACCUGCUCGCCUCCGACCCCAGUGCCACGAACCCAGCCGCGACCACCGCAAGACUGAAGCCGAACGAGGGUGCGACGGCCGCUGCCAGGGAGGGCGCAGCCCCGUCUUUCUCAGUGCUUGGUGCGACACCGCAGCAGAGAAGCCAGCUUACGCCGCCCAGCCUGUCGCCUGCUCGGCCGCCGGCGAUCGCCACCUACCUCGUGCCGCAGGUAGCCCCACCCCCGUCAUCUCCCGCCACUAUGCACAUGUCUGUGAAAACGGUGCCAACGAACGGGUAUGAGAGCUACGCUGUGCAGGGCGCGAAGCUGCCGCCGCCGCCGCCGAUGCCCGAGGAGGCCGCCGCCGCCGAUCAGGUGCCGUCAUCCACGCCAGCGGAGUCUUACUACGCGAACAACACCGCCCACAACGCCUCUGCGGCGCCGCCAUCGAGCGCCGCUGACGCGCCGUCCUUGGGCAGCCUCGCUACGCUUCCGGUAGCGCCCAACAUCCCAGCCUCGACUCGCUUCGCCUCCCUGCAGGAGUCCACGAGUGCCGCGCUUUCCUUUGACACCCAGCAGCAGACGGCAUCCGCCAGUUCCCUGUACACCAGCGCAGCGCAGGCCCCGGCCACGGCGUCGCAAGCGAGGCUGCUCGUGAUACCGCCGCACAUCAACGGUACCGUGACUCCGACGUUCUUCCACGCCUCACAAGCCUCGUCUCUCGCGGGCUCGCGUCAUCCCUCCGCCGGCCAGCUCCCGGCCUCUACGAGAAACCCAAGCGAGUGCUUUCCUGCUCACGCCCAACCGCCGCCACUGGCUGGCGCGCUCCCGGUGGCGACGGCACCUCGGUCGCCGCCGCUCACCUCGAGCACGACCAGCAGCCUUCGCUCCACCCCCGCCGCGCAGUCUGCGCAAAGACGCCACAAUACCGUUUCCUUCGCGGCCAGUCCGUUUCCUGCCGAGAACUUCGUCGCUGCCCCUUCGUCCGCGUCGACCUGUGCUGCCGCUACUCGCCGUGGUGUCGCACCAGCGUCUGCGACCGCCGGCCUGCAGCACAGCGCUGGCGCUGGCGCCGCCUUUCCCAGCGGUGCCGACCGCUGCGCCACCUACGCGUCGGCGUCUGUGGCCAGCGGCACCACCUCGCCAAGGCGCCGCAGCCCCCGCAGCGAGACCGAGCCCGGCGCCGAGGCCUCCGCCAUCACAUCUGCCUCGCAGAUCUACGCUGACAAGGAGUACCUGUUUGAGGUCGCCGCCACUGGUGCUGACGUCGAGGUGUUCCGGAGGCUUCGCCAAGUCGAUCCCACCCUCACGAACGGCUUCCUCGAGUGCUUGGACUACUCGGGCCGUAGCCUUCUGCACAUCGCCGCGUGGAACGGACAGCUGCGCGUGCUGCAGAUCCUGCUAUGCCCCCAGCCCGCCGAGCCGAUGAUUGACCUGCGCUCGGUUGUGGCGGCGAAGAGUGGCAACACGAUCCUGCACGCGGCAGCGUGUGGCGGCCAGGCCGAGGUGGCGCAGUGGUUGCGCUACUCGCAUCCCACGGCUGGUCCACUGCUGCUGUCGAUGCACAACGCCCGCAGCAUGACGGCGGCAGAGUGUGCCAUGGAGGCAGGCUUUCCGCAUGUGGCACGCCUGCUGAUGCCUAACUGAGCACUGCUCUUGAACCGUUUCUGUCUACCCUCAGCCGCGGGUGGCCAGUGCACACUCUGCACGGUUUGAGAAGACGAAAGCGGCGGGGAGUCUUGAGCGGCAGCAGCAGCAGCACUGCGGCAGCCACGGCGCGCCUGCCCACGGCUUGCACACGCAUGCGCGCAUACCUUUGUGCGUAUGAGCGCGUAUGCGUGUGUGCACGUCCGUGUGCCUGUCUCGCUCUCGCUCUCGCUGUCUGUGCGCCGACGGACGUGUGCACAUCUUUCUCCUCUUACAUUUUACGCGGCUGAAUGGCACACGCGCAUACUGUAAAAAGAAUGGGGAGUGUGAGCGGAGACUGUUGCGCGCCCGUGCUCGGAGGAGGAUGGGGCCGGUAGUGGUGUGGUGUUGUAUGGUGGGGACAGUGGACACGUGUGAACAAGGAAGUGGCGUCUCUCUCUCCUUCGACAAGCCACUCCAUCGCGCCCCUUUUCCCUUUCGCACAGAUGCUUAUCGCACCUGCCUCUCUGUGUCGAGUGGCAUCUCUGCGACGUGUACCUCGUGAGGUGCAUCGUCGUCAUCAUGCCUGCAUGAUGACGGGCGCCUGUGUCUGCGCGUGAGUUUCGGUUACGCAGCACGACGCCAAUAAAGGAAGCAUGCGAGACAGCAGAGAGAGAAGGUGGACCGUACAGCGGAGGCCGAUGGCGGUGGACUGCUGUGUUGCUGAGGCUGUGCAGAGGGGGAGCGCGUGCACGCUCACAGUGCAGGAGAUACCCGACGAGAACACACAAAGUCCUAAACAAAGGAAAGCGACGGUGCAGUGCCGAUGGAGAACCGAGGAAGGAAGCGGAGAGUGACGCGGGGAGUGCGAGAGGGAGAGAGCGGUAGGUGGCUGUAAAGCGAAGAGACGCGCGCGUACGUGUGACGUCUGCUUGUGCGCAUGUAAGUGCCUGUGAAGGGGCAAUGCGUAGCCGAGGCAGACACUGGCGCAGGUUUAGGCGGAGGGCGCCGGCGGCUUCGUGCCUCUUAUUCGCGUGCCUCGUUCUCGAUGUCUUUCCGUGCCCGCGACUUCGUUGUAGCUGUCAUGAUAGGGAGGUGGUUGUGGUAGGGGUAAGGCGGCCGCGGAAGGAGCAUCGAGAGCGGGAGAGCAAGCGAUCGGUGUCUGGCUGUGCACGUGAGGGCGCUGAUGUGCACUGUGUGCGCCAGCAUAGGCGCGGGCGCCUCCUCGGAGACGUCUCUUCGGAUUGCUGCUCUCUCUCUCUCUGCUACACGGCCUACGUUCCUUUUCCAUCUCGCGCACACAUGUGGCAUCUACGCAUGUGCGUCAUCAACGCCGCUCUCUUCGUCUUUGGAGCGCUUCGCCUUCGCUCCCCUUGCUGGAGGCUUGCGUGUGUGUGUGUGUGCAGCUAUCCGUGCGUGAGUGUACUCGUCUGCGACAGGCGGUGUACGCUGUGCGUUUUACGGGUCGAUUCUCUGCGUCCUGCGCGUCUGUGGCGGUGUGUCUGUGCGCGUAUACGUGCAACAUAUACGUAUGUAUGUGUGUGCACGUCUACAUAACGGCUCUCGUCGUUUUUCCUGCUCCGCUGUCGAGGGCGUGUUGUUGUCAUUCCACGCACCUCUCUUCUUCGUCGUCCCUGUUCUGUCCUGUAACCUCCCUCGCCUUUGCAGGGAGACCUCAUCGAUGUUGUUGUCUGUUAUGUAUGCGUGUGCGUGUGUAUACUCUCCCCCGUCCUCCCUCCACACACGCGAAACAGCCGGAGAGGAGGCAUACCUCUUUCACGGCACCUCCCCUCCUCUUCCGCUGUCGGCCUUGUCGUUGUUGCAUCUAAUGUGCGCGGGCGUUGCGCGUUCGCCUUGGGUGUUAUCGGUCGGUCUCUCUCUCUCUUUCGCUUACUACCUUCUCUAUCUUUCAGCAUGCGUUCACGCUAGCGGGAGGCGCACCGCGUCGACGGCGCCGUCCUUUACCUUCUAUUUUGUGCACAGUGUGCGUGUGUGUGUAUGCACGUCUCGUUCCUUCAGCUGUGUGUGUGUGUGUGUCUUUCUGUAUAGCUUCGACCCCUUCCCCUCCCCUCCCUCCCCCAUUAACAUAUAGAGCGAGGGCAGGCGACUGACUGAUGGCGGCGGUGAUGACGGCCAUCCAGUGGUCCCCGGCUCUCUCCUCUCUCCUCUCUCCUCUCUGUUUCUUCUUGAUGAUCUUCUCUGGUGCUGGCGAUGCUCCCUCGCACUUUCUUUGCCUGUACGGGUUGACUGCUUCGUGUGGCGCUUGCGCGCGUCUGUCCACCACUCCUCCCCGCUAUGGAGAGCGAGAGGGCGAGCGAGGCAGUGGUGCAGGCGUAUCCUACACCCGCCCCUCCUCCACACAACGACAAAUACGGACAUACAAGGGGGUGGGGUUGGGGGAGGGCAGGCAGUCUUAUGGUCUUCCGCUCCUUUACGCGCUCGCUGUUUAACCGACAGACGCAGAGUAGAGUCGUCGCGCGCACACGCGGGCUCAGGAGGGAGAAAAAAACGAAGCUCACUAAAAGGCAGCACCAACGAGGGCAAGAGCAGGGGGUGGGCACGGCCACCCAGCCGGCGAGCACCUGUGGUGCAGUGGGGGCGAAGGCGAAGAGGGAGGCGGGAGCAUGAGAACGGGUCGGAGGGGAACAGCGACAGUGCUGAGCCACAACGCAACUAGGGAGGUGCGCUCCUCCUUGCUUCCUCCUUCUAGCCUUCCCCCCCUCUUACCCCUUCUCACGUGCGCGUGCGUGUACGCUGGACAGCUUCGUCGCACACGCUCCUCCCGCUCUCCCUGCGCCCGCCUUGACGUGAACGACUCGGCCUCGUGCCCUCCUCCCUCCUUUGUGUGCUCGCAUUCUUUUUGCAUAUCUCUGUCGACGCUUUCGGCUUUUUUGAUGGCCACCGCGACUUCUACGCAUCUCUCUCGCUCUUGCUCUUGUCGCCGAUGUACGGGCCUGCGCCCUGUUUUCAUGUAGACGCGCGCGUGGCAUCUCUCGCAUCGAUGAUGAGCAGCUAUGUGUGUCUGCUCAUCUCUUGACUGGCUUCACUUCUGGUGUGCGUGCUUGCGAAGGGCGACGGGGGGCAUGAGGGGCGAGCCUGGCAUCGGCCUGUCCUGCCUCGCCGGCCCGCAUUGCUCUCCUCACUGCCUCCAGUGGACAGAUGUUGUUCUGCAUCUGUGCGGGUGCGCGCGAGUAUACGUGUGUGUGUGUGUGUGGUGCUUCACCUGCAUGCCCAUCUAUAUAUCUCUCUAUAUACUCCUUCUGUUGUUCUUGUGCUCCCCUCUCUCGCGUGCUUCCACGCGCCCGUCGGCGAGGCUCCCCGCCGCCGCCAACACCGCCACCGCCUCUCCGCUCGACCCCUGUGCACUCAAAAACAGCUUAUGGCGCCCGUUGGCGGCAAGCGGUGGGGAGAUAACGCGUGUUGCACAGCGCGAAUGGGCGUGGAGUUGGGGGCUAGAACAGGCGCGCGCAGGCAGCAGCACACCCGCACAAGGAGGCACACAUGCGUAUGCACACGCGCGUGCGCACAAGUAGCGAUGUUGCUACGAGGCAGAUGCUGCCACACUGGGUCAGCAGUGGGAGCUAGAGAGCUACAGAAAGCGCGCGAGCAAGUGAGAGUGCGGCAGCAGCAGCCGCUUGGUGUGUCCGGAAAAGGGCACAUGCACCCCCCAUUCUUCAGGUGGCAGAGAGGGAGGGAGGCUGUAGCUAAUCAAAGGGAGCGCGAGGGGAAAAAAAGAAAAAAAACAGCUCGAGCCACCACCCCCUCCCCUUCCUCCCUCUCUCCCUCCCUCCCUCCCUCCCGCCUUCCCUCUCUGCACGCAUACUCGCCGGAGUCUGCUGUAGUGUUGUACUACGACUGAAUGCUUGCCUCUGUGUUUUGUGCGCGUUACGCGAAGGGGAAGCGGCGACGAAACCUGUAUAGAGUGCGUGAGUGUGUGUGUGUGUGGGGAGGGCUGAGGGCGCCUGCCCUGCCUAGCUCUUUCGGUGCCCCUCCGCUCUGCCCAAUUUCUCUCCUCUCUUUCCCUAGACUCGCCCAAGACGAACUCUCUAUCAUUUUUGUUGCUCUGUGGUGCUGUUGAGCUGCGGCUGACGUUUACGUAUUCCCCUUUAACGGUGUCUCAGACACACACACACACACACACACGCACUCACUUGGCGCCGACAAGCGUGUGCGUGUGUGUGUGCCGCAGGUCCGCUGCUCCUCCACAUCUUUUCUUUCUUUACCGUUUGGCCGAUGUGCUCGGUGUGCGGCGUCCGCGUGACACAUCUCUCUUCGAACACGCAAACAUUAGUGUUGCGGUCCUGUCCGCUGUGCUUCCCUCCAGUUGCGUCUGUCGCGCUGCUGCGCCUCUCCUCCCCUCCGUUUUUUGUUGGCAGGAUCGCUCACGCGUGCUUCUCGGUGCCUGGCUCUCUGUGCGCUUGUCCAAUCGAAGACGACGACCACACAGAGCAUCCAAGCACGCAAGGUGACGGAGCCGCCCCCGCCCUCCCCUCUCCUUCCCGUCCCUUCUCUUCCUAGCACACACCUGCACAGUCGCUUCGCCAACACAGUUGCGCAGGUGCACGCACGCAACGCCUGCCGAAGCACGAGCGCUUUUCUCCCUCGUCUCUCUUCCUGGACGCCUUUCGAGUGCUGUGUUUCGUGCGCCUCUGUGCCCUUCCUCCCCUCCCCCUCCUCCUCCUCUGCUCCCUUUUCUCCCUCCCUCCCAUGCGUCUCUGCAGAUUGUCGAUGCCGAGCAGCUCUCUGUGUCCCUCCCUCUGUCCGUCUUCCUUUAUCUGGCUGCUUUCUUGCGAAGACGCACACAUACACAACAACAACAAAGAGGAGGAGGGGAGGAGGAGGGCGCGAUACUCUUGACAUCCGUUUUACAGAUUUCCAAUGCCUGUGUCGCCCCGCGUGCCUCUUCUCUGGAGUGCUUCCCGUGCCGCUCGCCGCCCUUUUUCUGUCCAUCGGUGACGCAAACACACGGGGCCUCCUCUCUUCUCUUUUCUCUUGUUGCCGCCCUUUUAUUUUAAUCUUCACCGCCACAUCUGGCUAACUAAAGCAGGCAAGCACACACACACACACACACAUACACGAGCAAAUAAGGAUGUGCUUGUGCGUGUGUGCAUGGGCACGCGCGCUGUACGCGCGCGGAUGACCAUUUCUUGUUGGCCGACUCGUGAGCAGGCGGUCCCAACGCAAAACGGUCAGAGGGCAGGCAGGCAGGCAGACGCACCAGCACGCCAAGGCCAGCGUUGAUGCAUGCCCCUCUGCACGCUGUUUUUUUUUUGGUGCGCGUGCCUGCCUGCCUGCCCUCUGACCGUUUUGCGUUGGGACCGCCUGCUCACGAGUCGGCCAACAAGAAAUGUUUAUCACGCGCGCAUACAUACAGCGUGCUGAACCGUUUUAGGGUGCCCCCACACGCCCUCCCUAACCUAUGAAGGAACAGCAGACCACACGCAGAAAACGGCUUAUCAAACGCACAGCGCCUCUAGCGGGCGCUGUGCUGGUGUGCGUGCCGGCCGGCAGCAGCAACGACGCAACGGCGUUGGACGUUUCGCGUGCGCGUGCCCGCGCAGGCAAUGAAAGAGCCGCUGUUGAGCGUCAACCUUCGUCACUGGCGGUGCGUGUGCAUGUGUGUGUGCAGGAGGGCUUCAGCGACAGCGCGGCGCUCCUCAAUCAUGAGGGACAUGGCUGAG
This 8104-nucleotide unclassified non-coding RNA is filed under the name Leishmania donovani. RNAcentral's name for it is "gene:LdHU3.06.0850(CDS-product:C2_domain/Ankyrin_ repeats_(3_copies)/Ankyrin_repeat_putative)". Lineage: Eukaryota; Euglenozoa; Kinetoplastea; Trypanosomatida; Trypanosomatidae. The record is from RNAcentral.